UAAUAGCGUAUAUUAAAGUUGUUGCAGUUAAAAAGCUCGUAGUCGGAUGUCGGGCUCGGGCAGGCUGUCGGCUUCGGUCGGACGGCAGGCUCGGGUCUUUCUGCCUGAGGAUCCAUCUCAUUCACUUGGGGUGGGGACGCAGGCCGUUUACUUUGAAAAAAUUAGAGUGUUCAAAGCAGGCCUACGCUUGAAUACAUUAGCAUGGAAUAAUGGAAUAGGACUUUGGUGCUAUUUUGUUGGUUUAUGGGACCGAAGUAAUGAUUAACAGGGACAGUUGGGGCCGUUUAUAUUUCGUUGUCAGAGGUGAAAUUCUUGGAUUUACGAAAGAUAAACUUCUGCGAAAGCAUUCGGCAAGGAUGUUUUCGUUGA
Molecule: ribosomal RNA, 369 nt
Filed under: uncultured eukaryote
Lineage: Eukaryota
Description: partial 18S ribosomal RNA
Rfam family: Eukaryotic small subunit ribosomal RNA
Source: RNAcentral